AUUAUGCUGACUUCAUCCGCUGAUAUGAGAAGACCCAUCUUAACCAUAGGGGGCACCAUUUCCAGUGUUAAAUGAAGAAAGGAAGCAGAGCUUGAACACACUAAUGCAUGCAUUGCUCUCUUCUGACUAUGGCUACAAGAUAAACAUAACUGCCAGUCAUCAUCAAAUAAGCUUCACUUUCCAGCCAAUGAAGAGUACCACAGAAAACCACAACAGGACACAAGACAGAGAUCAAUGGAUUCUGGGGAGUUUAACCUAAUGAGUAAAUCUACAUCACAGUUCCUGCAUCUAUGGCUCAGGGGACAUCACAGAAGAUGGACCAGACAAAAGAGUUAGAACUGAAGGGGUCCCUGCAGGUUUCCAGGAGGAAGUUGACCACAAAGAAUUGAAAAGAAAACCUUGAUUCAGAUUGACUAUUUCAACAUGAAUCAAGACUUCUAAAGAAUCUAAUCUCAAGCAGUCUAUGUGUUAGGACAAAUUCAAACAUACUAAAGUUAGAGGAAACAUUUCCGGGCAUAACAUAAUCCCCAAAUAAAGUAAUUAUAAGACUCA
Long non-coding RNA from Rattus norvegicus (Norway rat), 552 nucleotides. RefSeq lists it as uncharacterized. The record is from RefSeq and is a predicted model, not a curated record. NCBI's taxonomy places the organism in Eukaryota, Metazoa, Chordata, Mammalia, Rodentia, Muridae.